Molecule: unclassified non-coding RNA, 433 nt
Filed under: Hevea brasiliensis (rubber tree)
Lineage: Eukaryota; Viridiplantae; Streptophyta; Magnoliopsida; Malpighiales; Euphorbiaceae
Source: RNAcentral
GGGCUGUCAGUGUCUGAAAUGUACAGGAGAAAUGAUCAGAGCAACUUGAUUGCCCAAUAUGAUGGCCAGUUGAUGGAUGAAGAAGAACUAAAUUUGAUGCGUGCCGAGCCAGUUUGGCAGGGCUUUGUUACUCAAACAAAUGAACUUGUCAUGUUGGGGGAUGGUAAAGUCCUGAAUGAGUGUGGAAGGCCUCGGCCGGAUGAUAUUUGCAUGGACGAUGACCAACACGGUUCAGUUCGGUCUAUUGGUGUGGGGAUUAACAGUGAUACUGCUGAUUUUGGAAGCGAAGUGCGUGAAAGUUUGAUUGGAGGGAGUAGUGAGGGGGACCUAGAGUACUUCCAUGAUCAUGAUACCAGUAUUGGUGGGUCCAGACACCUACCACCCAUUUCAGAUAAGCCUUAUUCAGAGAGAUCAAAGAGAGAAAAGAAAGCAG